Nothoprocta perdicaria is the source of this 1097-nucleotide long non-coding RNA. RefSeq lists it as uncharacterized. The record is from RefSeq and is a predicted model, not a curated record. The transcript is spliced from 2 exons. Lineage: Eukaryota; Metazoa; Chordata; Aves; Tinamiformes; Tinamidae.
UUUUGCUUGUCCUAAGUGCUCUGAGACAUCUGUGCUUAGUCUGUGUGGAAAAAAUGGCAGCGGGAUGCAAAGAAAAUCAGAAAAGCCACUGAAGGCUUGAACCAGAGAACUGSAAAUUCUCCCGAUGGGUACAUCUGCUGGCGAGUGACCUCCUCCUCCAGAGCUGUAUCUACCUGUGCUCCAGAUGGAGAACCUAUCUCCCGAGCUACCCCAAUCAUUGUGUCCUUGCUAUGGACCAACCAGACUCACCUGCAACCCACUCAAAUGUUUUGCUAUGCAGAAUGUAAUCAUGUCCUCAGCAUUGUGAGGAAGAGCAGCUGCUUUUCUUCAGCCUGCUUUUAGGUCCUUUUGGAAAAAGAGGUGUCUUUGAUCUGGACUAGGAAUGCCCAGAUUGCUCAUGCUGGAAAACCUCAGCCUUGCCCUCUGUUCUGGGUAUGGAUUUGGUGUCAUCUUCUUUGCACCAGUCCUGCUGGGUAAUAUAGAGAAUUGAGAAGUAGAGUUUUGCUUCAUGGCCUUCUCYAGCUGUUAUCAAAUCUCCUGGCAGAGGAAAUAGGUUGGUAAUUCCUUGUGCAUUCAUUCAGCCCAUGCCAGUGUGAAAUAUGAAUGAAAGGCAAAACCAAAACCCCCUGCAAGCAGAGAUCACUAUAGAAAGAUUGACUCCUACAACCCAAUGCUACCUUCGAGGAACUCAGAAAAAAAAAAUCUAUCCAACAACACCAUCUGUUUGUGGCACAAUGUGUAAAUUUAUAUCUAUUUAUGAAUUUUUGAGUUAUGAUACUACAAAUAUCUCAGCUGCAGUUUUCAUAUCAGUACAUGAAAUAGUGUAGAGAUAUACCAUGUAUUUGAUCCCAGGACAAGAACUUGUAAGCACAUUAAAUAAUAAUAACAAAAAAGGCAAGGCUAGAGCAGCCAACGGGAACCAYUGCAAAACUUCUGCACCUCUUGGGGCUUUUGCAAAUCUUUUUAAUAGAACUUACUGGAGCUCAGCAUAGAAAAGUACCAGUUACUUGACAAGCCAGUUUCCCAGACUGUGUAUCAGGCAUUUCCAGUGCCUUUUAGCUGGCUCUCUGAUGAUGAAUSACUCAGAUUUGCAUCAG